RNAcentral lists this ribosomal RNA (2897 nucleotides) under Escherichia coli. RNAcentral's name for it is "23S ribosomal RNA". It matches the Rfam family "Bacterial large subunit ribosomal RNA". Lineage: Bacteria; Pseudomonadati; Pseudomonadota; Gammaproteobacteria; Enterobacterales; Enterobacteriaceae. The record is from RNAcentral.
UUAAGCGACUAAGCGUACACGGUGGAUGCCCUGGCAGUCAGAGGCGAUGAAGGACGUGCUAAUCUGCGAUAAGCGUCGGUAAGGUGAUAUGAACCGUUAUAACCGGCGAUUUCCGAAUGGGGAAACCCAGUGUGUUUCGACACACUAUCAUUAACUGAAUCCAUAGGUUAAUGAGGCGAACCGGGGGAACUGAAACAUCUAAGUACCCCGAGGAAAAGAAAUCAACCGAGAUUCCCCCAGUAGCGGCGAGCGAACGGGGAGCAGCCCAGAGCCUGAAUCAGUAUGUGUGUUAGUGGAAGCGUCUGGAAAGGCGCGCGAUACAGGGUGACAGCCCCGUACACAAAAAUGCACAUAUUGUGAGCUCGAUGAGUAGGGCGGGACACGUGGUAUCCUGUCUGAAUAUGGGGGGACCAUCCUCCAAGGCUAAAUACUCCUGACUGACCGAUAGUGAACCAGUACCGUGAGGGAAAGGCGAAAAGAACCCCGGCGAGGGGAGUGAAAAAGAACCUGAAACCGUGUACGUACAAGCAGUGGGAGCACGCUUAGGCGUGUGACUGCGUACCUUUUGUAUAAUGGGUCAGCGACUUAUAUUCUGUAGCAAGGUUAACCGAAUAGGGGAGCCGAAGGGAAACCGAGUCUUAACUGGGCGUUAAGUUGCAGGGUAUAGACCCGAAACCCGGUGAUCUAGCCAUGGGCAGGUUGAAGGUUGGGUAACACUAACUGGAGGACCGAACCGACUAAUGUUGAAAAAUUAGCGGAUGACUUGUGGCUGGGGGUGAAAGGCCAAUCAAACCGGGAGAUAGCUGGUUCUCCCCGAAAGCUAUUUAGGUAGCGCCUCGUGAAUUCAUCUCCGGGGGUAGAGCACUGUUUCGGCAAGGGGGUCAUCCCGACUUACCAACCCGAUGCAAACUGCGAAUACCGGAGAAUGUUAUCACGGGAGACACACGGCGGGUGCUAACGUCCGUCGUGAAGAGGGAAACAACCCAGACCGCCAGCUAAGGUCCCAAAGUCAUGGUUAAGUGGGAAACGAUGUGGGAAGGCCCAGACAGCCAGGAUGUUGGCUUAGAAGCAGCCAUCAUUUAAAGAAAGCGUAAUAGCUCACUGGUCGAGUCGGCCUGCGCGGAAGAUGUAACGGGGCUAAACCAUGCACCGAAGCUGCGGCAGCGACACUAUGUGUUGUUGGGUAGGGGAGCGUUCUGUAAGCCUGUGAAGGUGUGCUGUGAGGCAUGCUGGAGGUAUCAGAAGUGCGAAUGCUGACAUAAGUAACGAUAAAGCGGGUGAAAAGCCCGCUCGCCGGAAGACCAAGGGUUCCUGUCCAACGUUAAUCGGGGCAGGGUGAGUCGACCCCUAAGGCGAGGCCGAAAGGCGUAGUCGAUGGGAAACAGGUUAAUAUUCCUGUACUUGGUGUUACUGCGAAGGGGACGGAGAAGGCUAUGUUGGCCGGGCGACGGUUGUCCCGGUUUAAGCGUGUAGGCUGGUUUUCCAGGCAAAUCCGGAAAAUCAAGGCUGAGGCGUGAUGACGAGGCACUACGGUGCUGAAGCAACAAAUGCCCUGCUUCCAGGAAAAGCCUCUAAGCAUCAGGUAACAUCAAAUCGUACCCCAAACCGACACAGGUGGUCAGGUAGAGAAUACCAAGGCGCUUGAGAGAACUCGGGUGAAGGAACUAGGCAAAAUGGUGCCGUAACUUCGGGAGAAGGCACGCUGAUAUGUAGGUGAAGUCCCUCGCGGAUGGAGCUGAAAUCAGUCGAAGAUACCAGCUGGCUGCAACUGUUUAUUAAAAACACAGCACUGUGCAAACACGAAAGUGGACGUAUACGGUGUGACGCCUGCCCGGUGCCGGAAGGUUAAUUGAUGGGGUUAGCCGCAAGGCGAAGCUCUUGAUCGAAGCCCCGGUAAACGGCGGCCGUAACUAUAACGGUCCUAAGGUAGCGAAAUUCCUUGUCGGGUAAGUUCCGACCUGCACGAAUGGCGUAAUGAUGGCUGCUGUUCCACCCGAGACUCAGUGAAAUUGAACUCGCUGUGAAGAUGCAGUGUACCCGCGGCAAGACGGAAAGACCCCGUGAACCUUUACUAUAGCUUGACACUGAACAUUGAGCCUUGAUGUGUAGGAUAGGUGGGAGGCUUUGAAGUGUGGACGCCAGUCUGCAUGGAGCCGACCUUGAAAUACCACCCUUUAAUGUUUGAUGUUCUAACGUUGACCCGUAAUCCGGGUUGCGGACAGUGUCUGGUGGGUAGUUUGACUGGGGCGGUCUCCUCCUAAAGAGUAACGGAGGAGCACGAAGGUUGGCUAAUCCUGGUCGGACAUCAGGAGGUUAGUGCAAUGGCAUAAGCCAGCUUGACUGCGAGCGUGACGGCGCGAGCAGGUGCGAAAGCAGGUCAUAGUGAUCCGGUGGUUCUGAAUGGAAGGGCCAUCGCUCAACGGAUAAAAGGUACUCCGGGGAUAACAGGCUGAUACCGCCCAAGAGUUCAUAUCGACGGCGGUGUUUGGCACCUCGAUGUCGGCUCAUCACAUCCUGGGGCUGAAGUAGGUCCCAAGGGUAUGGCUGUUCGCCAUUUAAAGUGGUACGCGAGCUGGGUUUAGAACGUCGUGAGACAGUUCGGUCCCUAUCUGCCGUGGGCGCUGGAGAACUGAGGGGGGCUGCUCCUAGUACGAGAGGACCGGAGUGGACGCAUCACUGGUGUUCGGGUUGUCAUGCCAAUGGCACUGCCCGGUAGCUAAAUGCGGAAGAGAUAAGUGCUGAAAGCAUCUAAGCACGAAACUUGCCCCGAGAUGAGUUCUCCCUGACUCCUUGAGAGUCCUGAAGGAACGUUGAAGACGACGACGUUGAUAGGCCGGGUGUGUAAGCGCAGCGAUGCGUUGAGCUAACCGGUACUAAUGAACCGUGAGGCUUAACCU